GGGGACGUCGUUCAAUGGUAGGACGGCUGCUUCCCAAGCAGCCAACGCGGGUUCGAUUCCCGUCGUCCCCU
Molecule: transfer RNA, 71 nt
Filed under: Microbacterium maritypicum
Lineage: Bacteria; Bacillati; Actinomycetota; Actinomycetes; Micrococcales; Microbacteriaceae
Also listed under: 8 other names
Description: Microbacterium liquefaciens tRNA-Gly
Rfam family: tRNA
About the family: Transfer RNA (tRNA) molecules are approximately 80 nucleotides in length. Their secondary structure includes four short double-helical elements and three loops (D, anti-codon, and T loops).
Source: RNAcentral